CGUCUAGGUGGGGGUGUAAGUCAGACGUGAAAUCCCGGAGCUCAACUCCGGAACUGCGUUUGAAACUACAUCUCUUGAGGGUAGGCGGGGGAAACGGAAUUCCACGUGUAGCGGUGAAAUGCGUAGAUAUGUGGAAGAACACCGGUGGCGAAGGCGGUUUCCUAGCUUAUUCCUGACACUGAAGCGCGAAAGCAAGGGGAGCGAACA
RNAcentral lists this ribosomal RNA (207 nucleotides) under uncultured bacterium. Its description in RNAcentral is "partial 16S ribosomal RNA". It matches the Rfam family "Bacterial small subunit ribosomal RNA", at positions 568 to 774 of the family's 1533-position model. The record is from RNAcentral.